GCCUUCGUGGUCUAGUGGUUAUGACGCUUGCCUUAUCAGCGAGAGGUCACAGGUUCGAAUCCCGUCGGAGGCA
RNAcentral lists this transfer RNA (73 nucleotides) under Anneissia japonica. RNAcentral's name for it is "tRNA-Ile". It matches the Rfam family "tRNA". Rfam says of the family: Transfer RNA (tRNA) molecules are approximately 80 nucleotides in length. The record is from RNAcentral. Lineage: Eukaryota; Metazoa; Echinodermata; Crinoidea; Comatulida; Comatulidae.